Leopardus geoffroyi (Geoffroy's cat) is the source of this 1740-nucleotide long non-coding RNA. RefSeq lists it as uncharacterized. The transcript is spliced from 7 exons. The record is from RefSeq and is a predicted model, not a curated record. Lineage: Eukaryota; Metazoa; Chordata; Mammalia; Carnivora; Felidae.
AAUGUGACAUACGCAUACAAUGGAAUAUUUUUCAGCCUGAAAAGGGAAGGAAACUCUGUUACAUGUUACGACAUUGAUGAACCUUGAGAACGUUGUGCUAAGUGAAAUAAGCCAGCCUCAAAAGACAAACCCAGUACGGUUCCGCUGAUCUGAGGUGUGAGGUUUCGAGCUGCUGCCGCCAUCACGAUUCCCGGGGGCGUGUCAGCGGGAGGAUGAAAUCGACUUCUAGAGAAAGGCAAAGCAAAAACAAUUAGAGAAAUGGAUGGCGCCCUCUGAGCCUCUGGAUUGAAGGACCUGCAGCCAGCUCUCUCCUCGGACUUUCAGUUGUGUCAGCCAUAAUUUUUUAAAAAGAUGAAGACUGUGUCACAAGUUUCCUGUACUCCCAACUGAAUUCCAAAUAAAAUUGACGACCGGCUCUUGGCAAAAGAUUUCCCAAAGACAUUUCCAUGCACGCUUGUCUAUUUAUUUAUUGGCCGUGGGAUUCGCCACCAUUGGGCGAGUGGGUCAGUGGAAGGUCUGCCUGUCCUGAGGCAGCUCUUGGCAUCUGACCCAUGGUCCUGCAAUGUGAGUUGUGCAGUUGGGCGCCCAGUAUGGAGCCUUUUGCCUUCUGUCCUUCACAAGCUGGGAGGAUAUAUCUUCUACGACAGGAUAAAGAAGCCAUCCUGAGUGUUGGAUACCCAGUCCCGGCGAGGUAGCAUCUUACCGAGGACAGCAAUGGUGGCCAUGUCUCCCAAGACAGCACAAUCUUUUCCAGAGACAGGAAAACAUAAGAUGAAUCUCACCAAGGCCAAGGAGAGAAGAUCGCCCACUCCCUUACUGCUCCAGACCUAGAGGCACAAGGCUAGAGUUGCCAAGAAAGUUACUGUAUUGACAGGCUUCAUGUUUCAGUUCUGGCUUGCCGCUGGUCAUCUAAACACUCUUUGGUACACUGAGGAACAGAAUGGCCAUCAGCACCGAGGGAGAGAACAGAAGUGUGGUCUUUGGCUGAGUGGAACACACAAGACAGAACCUGGACUGCUCCACCCAACCCAUGGAAGUUUCCUUGGGGGAGAAGAAAAUUGCGGAGAAGGGGCUGUUUUUCUGUUUUCUCGGGACGUCCCCGAGGGUGGAGAAGAAGAGGUGUUGCCCAACGGAGCAAGCAUCAGUAGGGAAAGGGGAACUACAGGGGAUUUUCAGAGAUCUCAGCUUGUGGUCUUUGACCCAAGGAACCACGGGUGACAGUUUUACCAAAUGUUUUGUCCCUGCGUAACAAGGCUCACCCAGUUUCCAGCUUACCAUCUGUGUUGUUAUCGCCUGACAUCUGACCUCCUCCAAAAAUUGUUACAUUUUAGGCUCUCUCGUCCCUACGGACUGCAACUUUGGGGCAUUAAUUAUUUGCCAGAUUGGGUCAAACUGACUAUGACCUCAAACUCAAAAUAACAGUGGCUGAAAGAAGAUGAAAGCUUAUGUCUCUCGCCCAUAGUGACUCUAGAAGCAUAGCCCAGGCUGAUAUGGUGCCUCCAAGGUCAUCAGGGACCGAGGCUCCCACUAACCUGUUGUUCUGUCAUCUUAGCCUCAGUCUCCAUGACUUAAGAUGGCUGCUGAGCAUGAAACGUGUCCCCCUUGUUGAAAAAGCCUCCCAGAGGUCCCGGACAAUACUCCUGCUGGUAUGUCACCAUCUGGAAUUUGGUCACUCAUCUAUCCACAAGUGGCUGCAAGGGGGCUGGGAAAUGUCUUUUUUUUUAGUUUUGAGAGAGACAG